Molecule: ribosomal RNA, 216 nt
Filed under: uncultured bacterium
Lineage: Bacteria
Description: partial 16S ribosomal RNA
Rfam family: Bacterial small subunit ribosomal RNA
Source: RNAcentral
AGUCUCAGUUCGGAUUGAAGGCUGAAAUUCGCCUUCAUGAAGCUGGAAUUGCUAGUAAUGGCAGGUCAGCAUACUGCCGUGAAUACGUUCCCGGGCCUUGUACACACCGCCCGUCACACCAUGAGAGUUGGGAUACCCGAAGCCUGUGAGCUAACUGUAAAGAGGCAGCAGUCGAAGGUAGAAUCAAUGAUUGGGGUGAAGUCGUAACAAGGUAGC